AACAUCAACGACUUUUCUGCUGG
RNAcentral lists this non-coding RNA (23 nucleotides) under Cricetulus griseus (Chinese hamster). The record is from RNAcentral. Lineage: Eukaryota; Metazoa; Chordata; Mammalia; Rodentia; Cricetidae.